CCUAGUGACGGGUAGCGUUAACCACGAAAGGGAACGGCGUAACUACGUGCCAGCAGCCGCGGUAAUACGUAGGUCCCGAGCGUUGUCCGGAGUUUAUUGGGCGUAAAGCGAGCGCAGGCGGUUUGAUAAGUCUGAAGUUAAAGGACUGUGGCUCAACCAUAGUUCGCUUUGGAAACUGUCAAACUUGAGUGCAGAAGGGGAGAGUGGAAUUCCAUGUGUAGCGGUGAAAUGCGUAGAUAUAUGGAGGAACACCGGUGGCGAAAGCGGCUCUCUGGUCUAUAACUGACGCUGAGGCUCGAAAGCGUGGGGAGCGAACAGGAUUAGAUACCCUGGUAGUCCACGCCGUAAACGAUGAGUGCUAGGUGUUGGAUCCUUUCCGGGAUUCAGUGCCGCAGCUAACGCAUUAAGCACUCCGCCUGGGGAGUACGACCGCAAGGUUGAAACUCAAAGGAAUUGACGGGGGCCCGCACAAGCGGUGGAGCAUGUGGUUUAAUUCGAAGCAACGCGAAGAACCUUACCAGGUCUUGACAUCCCGAUGCUAUUUCUAGAGAU
This 552-nucleotide ribosomal RNA is filed under the name uncultured bacterium. RNAcentral describes it as "bacterial SSU rRNA". It matches the Rfam family "Bacterial small subunit ribosomal RNA", at positions 458 to 1007 of the family's 1533-position model. The record is from RNAcentral.